Molecule: unclassified non-coding RNA, 3302 nt
Filed under: Haliotis rubra (blacklip abalone)
Lineage: Eukaryota; Metazoa; Mollusca; Gastropoda; Lepetellida; Haliotidae
Description: cilia- and flagella-associated protein 418-like, transcript variant X1
Source: RNAcentral
UUUUCAAACGUUAUUACUAAAAGAGGAAAUCGGAAGUAAACACGAGCACGAGCUUGGUGAUCGGGUAAACAGUAGCCGAGGUAUCAUCGUCAUAACUAAGGAUGGCUGAUGACAUAGAUGAUUUAUUAGAUGAAGUCGAAACUAAAUACUGUACACGAGGAAAUACUACAACGGGAUCCCACAAAAGGAUAACUGCCAAUAAACCCAGGAACAGAGCCAGAUUAGAUGAUGACAUUGAUGACAUUCUCAGAGAAGAUGAUGACAUGCCACAGCUGAAGCAACUUGAUAUAGGCAGUAAAACAUCAGUGGAUGGUAAAGACAACCAGAGGUCACAAUCAUCUCGAAAAUGCUUUCCUGUAUAUUUAGGUGGAAGCUCCUGUGUCCUGGGCUUAGCCUCAAGUGUAAAUAAACGGGCUUGUGACAGGCUGAGGUGUACAUCAUGUGACUUUCGAGUGUCACAGUUUGACAACUUUGAAUGGCAUACAAGUACAGACUAUUUGUUUCUGAGGAACAAUGUACCUGAUUUUGAAAAAUUAAAAUCUAAACUUAAAGCAAGAAAAGGUGUGAGAGCGUACUGCUGCCAGUGUUGCUGGAAGUCUGUACCGGAUCUGGUGGAGCUGAAAGACCCCAAGUUGAAGUGGGUGUGUGGCAAGCAUUGACGCUGAUCAGAGUCUAGAUCACAGAUUCCACAUUCAUCAUUCCGUCCCUUAAACCAGCAUGGAACAACAAUCGCAAACCAUUUGUUCAUGAAUGAUUUGACAGGCAUUGCUUUGAAGUUGACACAUAACAAAAUAGAUAUGUGGUUAACUACUUAAUUAUUACACUGUUAUAAUGAUGUUCCAUUAUAGAUUGGGCAGUGGGGUAGCCUAGUGGUUAAAGCGUUUGCUCCUCACGCUGAAGACCCGGGUUCGAUUCCCCACACGGGUACAAUGUGUGAAGCCCAUUUCUGGUGUCCCCCUCUGAUAUUGCUGGAAUAUUGUGAAAGCACCGUAAAACCCAACUUACUCACUCAAAUUACAGAUCAUUAUAAUGUUGUUCCUGCUCAGAAAUAAUUAAGUUAUUGUCCAUUAAGUGUGUCCACUGCUUUUUGUCACAGCUUUGGAAUCAGAUUUAGGCAGUUUGUUAUGAAUUGUAAAUAGUGUAUUGAAGAAGCUAAAAAUAUAUUCAUGAAAUAUUGGCUAUAUAUAGUUUGCUCAUGGAAAUACUCAUGAGUUAUUAACAAAGAUAAGACUAUUAUAUUUACUAUAUUAUUCUGUAUUACUUGCAUUUAACCAACCACAGAUUUGUUUAUAUAUAUAUAUAUAGAGGGAGAGAGUUAUUUCUGUUGUGACAUAGAUAUAUAUAGGUAAAGACUUUUAGAGAAACUGUAUUCAUUUGUAAUAGGAGUUUUGAUUUUCAAAGGCUCAUCCAUUUCAUGUUAUUGAUCCAUAAUUCUGGCAUGUGUCGCAGUGUCAGCAUGAUAUUCUAGUAUGUUGAAAGGUUCAAGACAUCAGUUCACAAAUUAUAACUCCUGCUAUGUGCUUAUCCAUGUCAUCAUUGCAAAAAUUGUUCUUGAGAUUAUCUUUCAUUUGUUGGCAUCGUAUGUGUGUGAUGAGUUCAGUUUGUGUGCUACUUUCUGAUGAGGUGUGUUUUAACUUAUAGUUGUUAAAUACCAAGACACUGUUUCUGUCAAACAGUAAGAGAUGAUAAAACAACAGUUUAAUCUCACUACUGCGACAGGAAGAAAUACAGAAAUACGACACUUUGUCCUAUCAAGUCUCAGUGGUGAAGGAUUUUGCACAUUAUGCCAAAAUGCUAAUUGCAAAACAUUAUUUCUGGAAAACUGCUAACAGCAGCAUUAAGUCAAACUCUCUCACAUAUUUGUUAUUGGUCAGACUGCUCUUGCUCUGUGUUGACAAGGAUAAAAGAAAGUGAGCAAUUUAAGGAACGAUAAAGUAGAUACUCAUUAUGAUGCAUAUUUAGUUAGUACUAAAAAGACCCAAUUCAUUUCAGGGACCACAAAAUCUUCGCAGCUCAAUUAAAUAUGAGUAUCUAUGAGAAGGUCCUGAUGAGGUGUACAUUUUGUGUAAAACAGCUAAAAUACACUAAACAUGUGGGUGGUCAAAUGUUUAUUGUAAAAGAUAAACUUAACAAAACAAAACUACUGGUGUAUAUUACUAUCGUUAUUGUGCUAAAAUGUACAAAUUAUAACUGACAAGAUCUAAUGACACAAAUCCAGUAAGAUAUUUGUAUUUGCACAACACAAAAUUGCGGUAGUGAAACAAAAGCAGAACCAGCUGUCCCAGUGUUUGCUGACAGACGAUUUGCAACUUUACAGCUUGUCUGCAGUAUGUUUACAAAACCUCCCGAAAAUAAUUCUGGUACUGAGUGAAGGGCAAAACUUUGAAUAUAACCCCCACUGCCAGUCAGGGCCUUUACUGAAGGGAAAUGAUUUGACGGACUUGAAAUAUACAAUACAUAUUGGUAGACCCUUACUAAAAUUUGAUUGACUUGUAGCCUCACCUCCUGUCAGGACCCUCACUAAAGGGCCAAAAUUUGACUACUUGUAACCCCCACCAUCUGUCAGGACCCUCGCUAAAGGGCCAAAAUUUGACUACUUGUAACCCCAUCAUCUGUCAGGACCCUCGCUAAAGGGCCAAAAUGUGACUGCUUGUAACCCCCACCAUCUGUCAGGACCCUCACUAAAGGGCCAAAAUGUGACUGCUUGUAACCCCCACCAUCUGUCAGGACUCUCACUAAAGGGCCAAAAUGUGAGUGACUGUAACCCCCACGAUCUGUCAGGACCCUCAGUAAAGGGCCAAAAUGUGACUGCAUGUAACCCCAACGAUCUGUCAGGACCCUCAGUAAAGGGCCAAAAUGUGACUGCAUGUAACCCCCACCAUCUGUCAGGACCCUCGCUAAAGGGCCAAAAUGUGACUGCUUGUAACCCCCACCAUCUGUCAGGACCCUCGCUAAAGGGCCAAAAUGUGACUGCUUGUAACCCCCACCAUCUGUCAGGACCCUCACUAAAGCAUCUGUCAAGGGCCAAAAUGUGACUGCUUGUAACCCCCACCAUCUGUCAGGACUCUUGCUAAAGGGCCAAAAUGUGACUGAUUUGUAACCCCACCUCAUGAUCCUCACUAAAGAUGCAAAUGUUUCCAGACCAACUUUUAUGAUCUGAAUAUAUGAAUGCCUCUCUUUUCAUAAACAGGAACCUCGGCCAAUCAUGUAACUGACUACAGUAUCUUGUUCAUUCCGUUGUUGUAUUCAAAUGGGUUGUCAAACCUGUACUGUUGUGUUCAAACAAUAAAACUUAAAACUUU